CAAAAACAUUGCUACAUGAAAUUAACAUAUGUAGUACAUUCCUGCCCAGUGACGAAAGUUAAACGGCCGCGGUAUCCUAACCGUGCAAAGGUAGCAUAAUCAUUUGCCUAUUAAUUGUAGGCUAGUAUGAACGGAUAAACGAAAUAAAAACUGUCUCAACUAAUCAGAUAAAAAUUAUUUUCUACAUGAAGAAAUGUAGAUAAAUUCGAAGGACAAGAAGACCCUGUAGAGCUUUAUUUAAGUAAGGCAAAAAACUUUAUAAAAUUCGGUUGGGGCGACCACGGGACUAAACAACACCCCAAAUUUAAUAGAUUCAUAAAUCAAUUAUUUGACCCUUUAAAGAUCAUGAAACAAAGCUACCUUAGGGAUAACAGGCUAAUCUCAUUAAAGAGUUCAUAUCGACAAUGAGGAUUGGCACCUCGAUGUUGGCUUAGGGCCCCAUUAUAGCGCAAAAGUUAUAUAAGAUGGUUUGUUCAACCAGUAAAACCCUACGUGAUCUGA
This 501-nucleotide ribosomal RNA is filed under the name Terrisswalkerius sp. 903. Its description in RNAcentral is "partial 16S ribosomal RNA". It matches the Rfam family "Bacterial large subunit ribosomal RNA", at positions 1808 to 2608 of the family's 2925-position model. Lineage: Eukaryota; Metazoa; Annelida; Clitellata; Crassiclitellata; Megascolecidae. The record is from RNAcentral.